GGGGCCAUAGUUAAACAAGGUAAAACAUAUCGUUCGCAACGAUAAAAUGCGGGUUCAAGUCCCGCUGGCUCCA
RNAcentral lists this transfer RNA (73 nucleotides) under Candidatus Endomicrobiellum calonymphae. RNAcentral describes it as "tRNA-Ala". It matches the Rfam family "tRNA". Rfam says of the family: Transfer RNA (tRNA) molecules are approximately 80 nucleotides in length. Their secondary structure includes four short double-helical elements and three loops (D, anti-codon, and T loops). Further hydrogen bonds mediate the characteristic L-shaped molecular structure. tRNAs have two regions of fundamental functional importance: the anti-codon, which is responsible for specific mRNA codon recognition, and the 3' end, to which the tRNAs corresponding amino acid is attached (by aminoacyl-tRNA synthetases). tRNAs cope with the degeneracy of the genetic code in two manners: having more than one tRNA (with a specific anti-codon) for a particular amino acid; and 'wobble' base-pairing, i.e. permitting non-standard base-pairing at the 3rd anti-codon position. The record is from RNAcentral. Lineage: Bacteria; Pseudomonadati; Elusimicrobiota; Endomicrobiia; Endomicrobiales; Endomicrobiaceae.